This 329-nucleotide ribosomal RNA is filed under the name uncultured bacterium. RNAcentral's name for it is "bacterial SSU rRNA". It matches the Rfam family "Bacterial small subunit ribosomal RNA", at positions 568 to 898 of the family's 1533-position model. The record is from RNAcentral.
UUCGUAGGCGGUGCGGCAAGUCGGAAGUGAAAUCUCUGGGCUUAACUCAGAGGCUGCUCCCGAAACUGCCGUGCUAGAGUGCGGGAGAGGCGAGUGGAAUUACAGGUGUAGCGGUGAAAUGCGUAGAUAUCUGUAGGAACACCCGUGGCGAAGGCGGCUCGCUGGACCGCAACUGACGCUGAGGAACGAAAGCUAGGGGAGCAAACAGGAUUAGAUACCCUGGUAGUCCUAGCCCUAAACGAUCAGGACUUGGGGUGCAUCCCGUCGGGAUGCGUCCCGUAGCUAACGCGUUAAGUCCUGCGCCUGGGGAGUACGGUCGCAAGGCUGAA